UCGAGAAUCUUUCGCAAUGGACGAAAGUCUGACGAAGCGACGCCGUGUGAGCGAAGAAGGCCUUCGGGUUGUAAAGCUCUUUCGCUAGGGAACAAGAAAAAGUGAUGAAUAAUCAUUUGAUUUGAGGGUACCUGGUAAAGAAGCACCGGCUAACUCCGUGCCAGCAGCUGCGGUAAUACGGAGGGUGCAAGCAUUAAUCGGAAUUAUUGGGCGUAAAGGGCGCGUAGGCGGAUUUGUAAGUCAGAUGUGAAAUACCGAGGCUUAACCUCGGUGCUGCAUUUGAAACUACAAAUCUAGAGGGUAGGCGGAGAAAACGGAAUUCCACAUGUAGCGGUGAAAUGCGUGGAUAUGUGGAAGAACACCGGUGGCGAAAGCGGUUUUCUAGCUUAUUCCUGACGCUGAGGCGCGAGAGCAAGGGGAGCAAACAGGAUUAGAUACCCCCGUAGUCC
RNAcentral lists this ribosomal RNA (449 nucleotides) under uncultured bacterium. RNAcentral's name for it is "bacterial SSU rRNA". It matches the Rfam family "Bacterial small subunit ribosomal RNA", at positions 355 to 796 of the family's 1533-position model. The record is from RNAcentral.